Pelobates cultripes (western spadefoot toad) is the source of this 276-nucleotide non-coding RNA. NCBI's taxonomy places the organism in Eukaryota, Metazoa, Chordata, Amphibia, Anura, Pelobatidae. The record is from the annotation of a GenBank genome assembly.
UAGCUGACAAUGAAUAUAGUUAAAGGGACACUAUAGUCACCAGAACAACUACAGCUUAUUGUAUUUGUUCUGGUGAGUAGAAUCAUUACCGUCAGGCUUUUUACUGUAAACACUGCUUUUCAGAGAAAAUGCAGUGUUUACAUUACAUCCUAGUGAUAACUUCACUGGCCACUCCUUAGAUGACUGUUAGCGAUCCUUCCUGGGUCAUGGCUGCCUAAAAUGCAUCCAAACAUUCAGUGUCUCCUCCCUCUGCAUGCAGACACUGAACUUUCCUCA